AUUGAACGCCGGCGGCAUGCUUUACACAUGCAAGUCGAACGGUAACAGGCCGCAAGGUGCUGACGAGUGGCGAACGGGUGAGUAAUGCAUCGGAACGUGCCCAGUCGUGGGGGAUAACGCAGCGAAAGCUGCGCUAAUACCGCAUACGAUCUCUGGAUGAAAGCGGGGGACCGAAAGGCCUCGCGCGAUUGGAGCGGCCGAUGUCAGAUUAGGUAGUUGGUGGGGUAAAGGCCCACCAAGCCAACGAUCUGUAGCUGGUCUGAGAGGACGACCAGCCACAGUGGGACGGGGACACGGCCCAGAGUCCGACGGGAAGCAGCAGUGGGGAAUUUUGGACAAUGGGCGCAAGCCUGAUCCAGCAAUGCCGCGUGAAGGAAGAAGGCCUUCGGGUUGUAAACUGCUUUUGUACGGAACGAAACGGUCCGGGUUAAUACCCUGGGCUAAUGACGGUACCGUAAGAAUAAGCACCGGCUAACUACGUGCCAGCCGCCGCAGUAA
RNAcentral lists this ribosomal RNA (498 nucleotides) under uncultured bacterium. RNAcentral's name for it is "partial 16S ribosomal RNA". It matches the Rfam family "Bacterial small subunit ribosomal RNA", at positions 29 to 523 of the family's 1533-position model. The record is from RNAcentral.